UGUUGGCCUGGGAACGAGGAUCCGAGCCGUCCACACCGACCCCCUGGGGGGCACGGAGGAAAAGCGGUCGCCUAGACGGCUCGGGGAGUCAGUGGCGAGACCGACCCGAACAAGU
Molecule: non-coding RNA, 115 nt
Filed under: unclassified sequences
Description: c-di-GMP sequence
Rfam family: c-di-GMP-II-GAG riboswitch aptamer
Source: Rfam by way of RNAcentral